CUUGCGGUCAUAUUGCAUUGAAACACCAGUUCUUGUAUGAUCACCAAAGUUAAGCAACUUUGAGCCUGGUCGGUACUGAGAUGGAUAACCACUUAGGAAUGUCAGGUGCUGUAAG
This is a non-coding RNA of Acanthosepion pharaonis, 115 nucleotides long. The record is from the annotation of a GenBank genome assembly. Lineage: Eukaryota; Metazoa; Mollusca; Cephalopoda; Sepiida; Sepiidae.